Long non-coding RNA from Hydra vulgaris (swiftwater hydra), 275 nucleotides. RefSeq lists it as uncharacterized. The record is from RefSeq and is a predicted model, not a curated record. Lineage: Eukaryota; Metazoa; Cnidaria; Hydrozoa; Anthoathecata; Hydridae.
CGACACGUCAGUGAAUCAAAAGAGGCAUCUGUAAAGAGUUGGCUCAAGAUUCAGUGUUAUCAUGGAUCAAAUUCAGCAAGCCAUAGAACCAUGCAAGGAGUUUUGUAAAGAUUCCUUUCGUCUAGUAAAAAGAUGUACUAAACCUGACAGAAAAGAAUUUCAAAAAAUAGCAAUGGCUACAGCUAUCGGAUUUGCCAUUAUGGGAUUUAUUGGUUUCUUUGUUAAACUUAUUCACAUACCAAUAAAUAAUAUCAUUGUACAAUAGUUUGUGUUAA